RNAcentral lists this ribosomal RNA (254 nucleotides) under uncultured bacterium. RNAcentral describes it as "partial 16S ribosomal RNA". It matches the Rfam family "Bacterial small subunit ribosomal RNA", at positions 524 to 776 of the family's 1533-position model. The record is from RNAcentral.
UACGUAGGGGGCGAAGCGUUGUCCGGAGUUACUGGGCGUAAAGGGCGUGCAGGCGGUGCGGUAAGUUUAGCGUGACAGUCUCCGGCUUAACUGGAGAAGGCCGCUGAAAACUGCUGGACUUGAGGGCCAGAGAGGGACAUAGAAUUCCGGGUGGAGUGGUGAAAUGCGUAGAUAUCCGGAGGAAUACCAAAGGCGAAGGCAGUGUCCUGCUGGCAACUGACGCUGAGGCGCGAAAGCUAGGGGGAGCGAACAGG